Molecule: ribosomal RNA, 274 nt
Filed under: uncultured Alphaproteobacteria bacterium
Lineage: Bacteria; Pseudomonadati; Pseudomonadota; Alphaproteobacteria
Description: partial 16S ribosomal RNA
Rfam family: Bacterial small subunit ribosomal RNA
Source: RNAcentral
AAUGAACGCUGGCGGCAUGCCUAACACAUGCAAGUCGAACGAGAUUUUCGGAUCUAGUGGCGCACGGGUGAGUAACGCGUGGGAACCUACCUUUAGUUCGGACAACGUUUGGAAACGAACGCUAAUACCGUAUACGCCCUCCGGGGAAAGGUCAGCCGCUGAAAGAGGGCCCGCGUCUGAUUAGCUUGUUGGUAAGGUAAUGGCUUACCAAGGCUACGAUCAGUAGCUGGUCUGAGAGGAUGAUCAGCCACACUGGGACUGAGACACGGCCCAG